AACGUACGCUGGCGGCACGCCUAACACAUGCAAGUCGAACGCAGUAGCAAUACUGAGUGGCAGACGGGUGAGUAACAUGUGGGAAUCUGCCUUGUGGUUCAGGACAACAUUGGGAAACCGAUGCUAAUACUGGAUAAGCCCUUACGGGGAAAGUUUUAAUGCCAUAAGAUGAGCCCGCAUUUGAUUAGUUAGUUGGUGAGGUAAUGGCUCACCAAGACAAUGAUCAAUAGCUGAUCUGAGAGGAUGAUCAGCCACACUGGGACUGAGACACGGCCCAGACUCCUACGGGAGGCAGCAGUGGGGAAUCUUGCACAAUGGAGGAAACUCUGACGCAGCGAUGCCGCGUGAGUGAAGAAGGCCUUUGGGUUGUAAAGCUCUUUUGUAGGGGAAGAUAGUGACUGUACCCUAAGAAUAAGGUCCGGCUAACUUCGUGCCAGCCGCCGCCGUAA
This 449-nucleotide ribosomal RNA is filed under the name uncultured bacterium. Its description in RNAcentral is "partial 16S ribosomal RNA". It matches the Rfam family "Bacterial small subunit ribosomal RNA", at positions 29 to 523 of the family's 1533-position model. The record is from RNAcentral.